AAUAUUGCGCAAUGGGGGAAACCCUGACGCAGCAACGCCGCGUGAACGAAGAAGGCUUUCGGGUCGUAAAGUUCUGUCAAGUGGGACGAAGGCUUAUAGGUUAACAGCCUAUGAGAUGACGGUACCUAUAGAGGAAGCUCCGGCUAACUACGUGCCAGCAGCCGCGGUAAUACGUAGGGAGCGAGCGUUGUCCGGAAUUACUGGGCGUAAAGGGCGCGUAGGCGGUUAUUUAAGUCAGAUGUGAAAAACCGAGGCUCAACCUCGGCCUUGCAUUUGAAACUGGAUGACUUGAGGAUGAGAGAGGAAAGUGGAAUUCCUAGUGUAGCGGUGAAAUGCGUAGAUAUUAGGAGGAACACCAGUGGCGAAGGCGACUUUCUGGCUCAUACCUGACGCUGAGGCGCGAAAGCGUGGGGAGCAAACAGGAUUAGAUACCCUGGUAGUCCACGCCGUA
RNAcentral lists this ribosomal RNA (451 nucleotides) under uncultured marine bacterium. RNAcentral describes it as "bacterial SSU rRNA". It matches the Rfam family "Bacterial small subunit ribosomal RNA", at positions 360 to 804 of the family's 1533-position model. The record is from RNAcentral.